This 155-nucleotide ribosomal RNA is filed under the name Lentinula edodes (shiitake mushroom). RNAcentral describes it as "5.8S rRNA". It matches the Rfam family "5.8S ribosomal RNA". From Rfam's summary of the family: 5.8S ribosomal RNA (5.8S rRNA) is a component of the large subunit of the eukaryotic ribosome. The record is from RNAcentral. Lineage: Eukaryota; Fungi; Basidiomycota; Agaricomycetes; Agaricales; Omphalotaceae.
CAACUUUCAGCAACGGAUUCUGCUCUCCCAUCGAUGAAGAACCGCAGCGAAAUGCGAUAAGUAAUGUGAAUUGCAGAAUUCAGUGAAUCAUCGAAUCUUUGAACGCACCUUGCGCCCUCUGGUAUUCCGGAGGGCAUGCCUGUUUGAGUGUCAUU